UGGGGAAUAUUGGGCAAUGGAGGCAACUCUGACCCAGCAACGCCGCGUGAGGGAAGAAGGUUUUCGAAUUGUAAACCUCUGUCCUAGGGGACGAAGAAAGUGACGGUACCCUAGGAGGAAGCCCCGGCUAACUACGUGCCAGCAGCCGCGGUAAUACGUAGGGGGCAAGCGUUGUCCGGAAUUACUGGGCGUAAAGGGUGCGUAGGGGGUAUGGUAAGUUAGAUGUGAAAUCCCCGGGCUUAACUCGGGAGUUGCAUUUAAAACUGUCAGACUAGAGUGCAGGAGAGGAAAGCGGAAUUCCUAGUGUAGCGGUGAAAUGCGUAGAUAUUAGGAGGAACACCAGUGGCGAAGGCGGCUUUCUGGACUGUAACUGACGCUGAGGCACGAAAGCGUGGGGAGCGAACA
Molecule: ribosomal RNA, 405 nt
Filed under: uncultured prokaryote
Description: bacterial SSU rRNA
Rfam family: Bacterial small subunit ribosomal RNA
Source: RNAcentral